AACUACAAAGUAAACUUUUCUCAGCCAUAUAUAUUUGUUUACCUCCCUCAUUUAGUAAGCUGAUUGGCUAUUGGUGAUACUAUGUUUACGUAUUGUAGCUUGCUAUAGAAUGCUAUUGCAGCCGUUUGUUAAAUAUGUUCACUCCUUAACUCACAUGUGGCUUUUAAGGCUUCAUCUGUCUAUUUUAAUAUUAUAAGCA
This 199-nucleotide long non-coding RNA is filed under the name Linum usitatissimum (flax). RNAcentral's name for it is "long non-coding RNA (LUSI_LNC000007)". Lineage: Eukaryota; Viridiplantae; Streptophyta; Magnoliopsida; Malpighiales; Linaceae. The record is from RNAcentral.